This 465-nucleotide ribosomal RNA is filed under the name Vreelandella stevensii. RNAcentral describes it as "partial 16S ribosomal RNA". It matches the Rfam family "Bacterial small subunit ribosomal RNA", at positions 338 to 795 of the family's 1533-position model. The record is from RNAcentral. Lineage: Bacteria; Pseudomonadati; Pseudomonadota; Gammaproteobacteria; Oceanospirillales; Halomonadaceae.
CCUACGGGAGGCAGCAGUGGGGAAUAUUGGACAAUGGGGGGAACCCUGAUCCAGCCAUGCCGCGUGUGUGAAGAAGGCCCUCGGGUUGUAAAGCACUUUCAGUGAGGAAGAACGCCUGGUGGUUAAUACCCAUCAGGAAAGACAUCACUCACAGAAGAAGCACCGGCUAACUCCGUGCCAGCAGCCGCGGUAAUACGGAGGGUGCGAGCGUUAAUCGGAAUUACUGGGCGUAAAGCGCGCGUAGGUGGCUUGAUAAGCCGGUUGUGAAAGCCCCGGGCUCAACCUGGGAACGGCAUCCGGAACUGUCAAGCUAGAGUGCAGGAGAGGAAGGUAGAAUUCCCGGUGUAGCGGUGAAAUGCGUAGAGAUCGGGAGGAAUACCAGUGGCGAAGGCGGCCUUCUGGACUGACACUGACACUGAGGUGCGAAAGCGUGGGUAGCAAACAGGAUUAGAUACACUAGUAGUC